ACGGGUGAGUAACGCGUGAGCAAUCUGCCCUUCGGAGGGGGACAACAGCUGGAAACGGCUGCUAAUACCGCAUGAUGUAUACGGGAGGCAUCUCUUGUAUACCAAAGAUUUAUCGCCGAAGGAUGAGCUCGCGUCUGAUUAGCUAGUUGGUAGGGUAACGGCCUACCAAGGCUGCGAUCAGUAGCCGGACUGAGAGGUUGAACGGCCACAUUGGGACUGAGAUACGGCCCAGACUCCUACGGGAGGCAGCAGUGGGGAAUAUUGGGCAAUGGGGGAAACCCUGACCCAGCAACGCCGCGUGAAGGAAGAAGGCUUUCGGGUUGUAAACUUCUUUGACCAGGGACGAAACAAAUGACGGUACCUGGAAAACAAGCCACGGCUAACUACGUGCCAGCAGCCGCGGUAAUACGUAGGUGGCAAGCGUUGUCCGGAUUUACUGGGUGUAAAGGGCGCGUAGGCGGGAUUGCAAGUCAGAUGUGAAAUGCUGGGGCUUAACCCUGGAACUGCAUUUGAAACUGUAAUUCUUGAGUAUCGGAGAGGCAGGCGGAAUUCCUAGU
Molecule: ribosomal RNA, 557 nt
Filed under: uncultured bacterium
Lineage: Bacteria
Description: bacterial SSU rRNA
Rfam family: Bacterial small subunit ribosomal RNA
Source: RNAcentral